RNAcentral lists this transfer RNA (89 nucleotides) under Fonticella tunisiensis. It matches the Rfam family "tRNA". From Rfam's summary of the family: Transfer RNA (tRNA) molecules are approximately 80 nucleotides in length. The record is from Rfam by way of RNAcentral. Lineage: Bacteria; Bacillati; Bacillota; Clostridia; Eubacteriales; Clostridiaceae.
GGAGAGAUGUCCGAGUGGUUUAAGGUGACGGUCUCGAAAACCGUUGUACGGGGAUACCCGUACCGAGGGUUCGAAUCCCUCUCUCUCCG